Molecule: ribosomal RNA, 253 nt
Filed under: uncultured bacterium
Lineage: Bacteria
Description: partial 16S ribosomal RNA
Rfam family: Bacterial small subunit ribosomal RNA
Source: RNAcentral
UACAGAGGGUGCGAGCGUUAAUCGGAAUUACUGGGCGUAAAGCGUGCGUAGACGGUUAUUUAAGUCGGGUGUGAAAGCCCCGGGCUCAACCUGGGAAUUGCAUUCGAGACUGAAUAGCUAGGGUACGGUAGAGGGAAGUGGAAUUUCCGGUGUAGCGGUGAAAUGCGUAGAUAUCGGAAGGAACACCAGUGGCGAAAGCGGCUUCCUGGUCCAGCACCGACAUUCAGGCACGAAAGCGUGGGGAGCAAACAGG